GUGAGGAAUAUUGCACAAUGGGGGAAACCCUGAUGCAGCGACGCCGCGUGGGUGAUGAAGGUUUUCGGAUCGUAAAGCCCUUUUCUGCAUGACGAGCAAGGACGGUAGUGCAGGAAUAAGUGUCGGCUAACUACGUGCCAGCAGCCGCGGUAAAACGUAGGACACAAGCGUUAUCCGGAAUUACUGGGCGUAAAGGGAGUGCAGGCGGUUGCGUAAGUUAGGCGUGAAAGACUUCGGCUAAACCGGGGGAGGUCGUCUGAUACUGCGUAACUAGAGUAUGGUAGAGGCGUGUAGAAUUCCGGGUGUAGUGGUGAAAUGCGUAGAGAUCCGGAGGAAUACCAGUGGCGAAGGCGGCACGCUGGGCCAUAACUGACGCUAAGACUCGAAAGCAUGGGUAGCGAACGGGAUUAGAUACCCUGGUAGUCC
This 426-nucleotide ribosomal RNA is filed under the name uncultured bacterium. RNAcentral describes it as "bacterial SSU rRNA". It matches the Rfam family "Bacterial small subunit ribosomal RNA", at positions 354 to 796 of the family's 1533-position model. The record is from RNAcentral.